This 68-nucleotide transfer RNA is filed under the name Bos taurus (domestic cattle). It matches the Rfam family "tRNA". From Rfam's summary of the family: Transfer RNA (tRNA) molecules are approximately 80 nucleotides in length. Their secondary structure includes four short double-helical elements and three loops (D, anti-codon, and T loops). RNAcentral also lists the same sequence under 5 other names. The record is from Rfam by way of RNAcentral. Lineage: Eukaryota; Metazoa; Chordata; Mammalia; Artiodactyla; Bovidae.
UGGAUAGCUCAGUCAGUAGAGCAUCAGACUUUUAAUCUGAGACUCCACAGGGUUCAAACCCCUGUUCA